Molecule: ribosomal RNA, 253 nt
Filed under: uncultured bacterium
Lineage: Bacteria
Description: partial 16S ribosomal RNA
Rfam family: Bacterial small subunit ribosomal RNA
Source: RNAcentral
GUAAGCCUACGGGGGGCAGCAGUUAGGAAUAUUCGUCAAUGGGGGAAACCCUGAACGGGCAAUGCCGCGUGAACGAUGACGGUCCUCUGGAUUGUAAAGUUCUGUUGUUUGGGAAGAACGGCUCUAAUAGGAAAUGAUUAGAGAUUGACUGUACCAUUCAAGAAAGCCACGGCUAACUACGUGCGAGCAGCCGCGGUAAUACGUAGGUGGCGAGCGUUAUCCGGUUUUAUUGGGCGUAAAGCGUCCGCAGCCG